This 109-nucleotide small RNA is filed under the name Marmota monax (woodchuck). The record is from RNAcentral. Lineage: Eukaryota; Metazoa; Chordata; Mammalia; Rodentia; Sciuridae.
GCUGGGUGUGGUGGUGCACACCCAUAAUCCCAGCAGCUCGGGAGGCUGAGGCAGGAGGAUUCCAAGUUCAAGGCCAGCAUCAGCAACUCAGAGGGAGACCCUGUCUCUA